CAUGCACUAACUGUACGAUCCAGUGGUUACACUUCUCUUAGUUAUGUAUCAAGAAAAAUGAAAACUUAUGUCACCAAAAGACUUGUACAGGAGUACUCUGAGCAGCUUUUUUCAUAUUAGCCAAAAAUUGGAAACUCAAAUAUCCAACAGGGGAUGUGACUAUGGAGAGAACUCAGAGACCCCAGUGGGGCAGAGGCCAAGAUGGGCUGGACCAGAUCAGGCAAGUCUGCCUCCAAGUCCCUCAGUGGCAGGCACAAGCACCAGCAGCAAGAGAGAAUUCAGUGAGUGGCCACCAAGUGCCCACAGGCAUGCCUGGAAUGCAUCUGGGAAACCUCUAUGGCCCUGAAUUAUCUGAACAAGAAUGAAUCCAGUCUUCAAUACUGCUAGAUCUUGGUCCACUAUCCCAGAAAAUGAGAAACAACAAGAUAAACAGGUACCUGCUCUUCCUUCCAUAAAUUGCCCAUACA
Non-coding RNA from Chlorocebus sabaeus (green monkey), 467 nucleotides. The record is from RefSeq and is a predicted model, not a curated record. Lineage: Eukaryota; Metazoa; Chordata; Mammalia; Primates; Cercopithecidae.